CUGGCGGCAGGCCUAACACAUGCAAGUCGAGCGGCAGCGGGAAGUAGUUUACUACUUCGCCGGCGAGCGGCGGACGGGUGAGUAAUGUCUGGGAAACUGCCUGAUGGAGGGGGAUAACUACUGGAAACGGUAGCUAAUACCGCAUGACCUCGCAAGAGCAAAGUGGGGGACCUUAGGGCCUCACGCCAUCGGAUGUGCCCAGAUGGGAUUAGCUAGUAGGUGGGGUAAUGGCUCACCUAGGCGACGAUCCCUAGCUGGUCUGAGAGGAUGACCAGCCACACUGGAACUGAGACACGGUCCAGACUCCUACGGGAGGCAGCAGUGGGGAAUAUUGCACAAUGGGCGCAAGCCUGAUGCAGCCAUGCCGCGUGUGUGAAGAAGGCCUUCGGGUUGUAAAGCACUUUCAGCGAGGAGGAAGGCAAUCGUGUUAAUAGCACGGUUGAUUGACGUUACUCGCAGAAGAAGC
Molecule: ribosomal RNA, 466 nt
Filed under: Yersinia kristensenii
Lineage: Bacteria; Pseudomonadati; Pseudomonadota; Gammaproteobacteria; Enterobacterales; Yersiniaceae
Description: bacterial SSU rRNA
Rfam family: Bacterial small subunit ribosomal RNA
Source: RNAcentral